UACGAGGGGGGCUAGCGUUGUUCGGAAUCACUGGGCGUAAAGGGCGCGUAGGCGGCUUUAUAAGUCGGGGGUGAAAGCCUGUGGCUCAACCACAGAAUUGCCUUCGAUACUGUAGAGCUUGAGACCGGAAGAGGUAAGUGGAACUGCGAGUGUAGAGGUGAAAUUCGUAGAUAUUCGCAAGAACACCAGUGGCGAAGGCGGCUUACUGGUCCGGUUCUGACGCUGAGGCGCGAAAGCGUGGGGAGCGAACAGG
This 253-nucleotide ribosomal RNA is filed under the name uncultured bacterium. RNAcentral's name for it is "partial 16S ribosomal RNA". It matches the Rfam family "Bacterial small subunit ribosomal RNA", at positions 524 to 776 of the family's 1533-position model. The record is from RNAcentral.